Molecule: ribosomal RNA, 586 nt
Filed under: uncultured bacterium
Lineage: Bacteria
Description: bacterial SSU rRNA
Rfam family: Bacterial small subunit ribosomal RNA
Source: RNAcentral
UAGCGGCAGGCCUAAUACAUGCAAGUCGAACGGUGGCAGCAAUGUCAUAGUGGCGCACGGGUGCGUAACACGUAACUAACCUGCCCAGACCUGGGGGAUAGCCCGCCGAAAGGCGGAUUAAUACCGCAUAAUAUCAGUGAGCGGCAUCGCUUAGUGAUUAAAGAUUUAUCGGGUUUGGAUGGGGUUGCGGGUCAUUAGCUAGUUGGUCAGGUAACGGCUUACCAAGGCGACGAUGACUAGGGGAGCUGAGAGGCUGGUCCCCCACACGGGCACUGAGAUACGGGCCCGACUCCUACGGGAGGCAGCAGUAGGGAAUAUUGGGCAAUGGGCGAGAGCCUGACCCAGCCAUGCCGCGUGCAGGAAGAAGGCUUUCUGAGUCGUAAACUGCUUUUGAUAGGGAAGAAUAAGGAGUAUGUAUACUCUGGUGACGGUACCUACAGAAUAAGCACCGGCUAACUCCGUGCCAGCAGCCGCGGUAAUACGGAGGGUGCGAGCGUUGUCCGGAUUUAUUGGGUUUAAAGGGUGCGUAGGCGGCUCUUUAAGUCCGGGGUGAAAGCCCGUUGCUCAACAACGGAACUGCCCUGGA